Non-coding RNA from Beta vulgaris subsp. vulgaris (sugar beet), 69 nucleotides. The record is from Rfam. Lineage: Eukaryota; Viridiplantae; Streptophyta; Magnoliopsida; Caryophyllales; Amaranthaceae.
AGCCUACUAGUUCAAUUGGUAGAGCAUUGUGGUAAUACCUAGGAUGUGGGUUCAAAUCCCACUAGGCUC